CUCUCCAAGACACCAUUCUUCAUUUUCUGACAAAGAACCAAUCAAAGCCCUGGCCACGCAGGAGUCCAGUCAUGCAGGGAGCGAUGGAACGGCUGCGUUUUCCUCAUGAAGCUCUGACUCAUCUUGAAAAGCGUCCAGAACGGAUCGGGCCUGCCAAUGGGAAGAGGAUGAAGGGGACAGUUGCCCUGGGGGCCAGAGAUUCAAAGGGUCCAGUGCCCGUGGUAGCAGCCAGAUUGUUGCCGGAGCACCAUGCCACAUGGCUCUGGCUGGGGGCGAGGAUGCUGUGGUCAAGGCCAGGUCACUCCAAGAUGUUGGCAGCAUUUUUCUUCCCCCCUUGGAUCCAAGGAGGCACUUGAAAGCAUCAGACGUUAGUGGAAAAUCAACAAUCUGUGAUCCCAGAUGCUGGGUUGUGAACCAUAUUAUUUCUCCCUGAGUUUUCUGGAUUUAUUCAUCCCCCCACUUCUGCAAAAUGUCCAUAUGAAUAAAGACCUGCACUGAUCAUGCACGUUGAUUUCACCAGCUGGUUUGAUAUGGUUCUGCUGGACACUGCCUGCCUCAAAUUCCAGACCUCCCAGUCUUGGGGAGCAGUAAGAGGAGGGGGUGCAGGUCUCUCCAACAAUUCUCAGGACAGUGCCAUGAAGAACAAGGCUCAACAGGUUUCACCCCAUCCGGCUGGCCGGGGCUCAAACAAAUGUCUGGACAUACGGCGGAAUGGAUGCGCUUAGCUUGGAAACGCAUGGGCGUGGCUCGGCUGGAGCUCUCUGAAAUUGUGUGGUCUGCAGUGCGACUCUGCCACCUGCUCUUUCAAGUUGUGCAGCAGUCAGGGGAUAUAAAUCCUCCAGCAGAUAUCACCCCUUGGCAUCAGAGAACAGUGGCCACGGAGUUCCUGUUUCUCUUGAAAACGGGGCAGGGAGGGGGGUGCCAGGAAAAAGGGGAACAGAGGUGCCCUUCAGAAUAAGCAGCUGGACAGAUAUCAAAGCACACUCUGCAGUCCGAUUGCCAACGGAAAGAUUCCUUUGGUCCUAAAUUCACACCGUCCCUGCUGAUUCCAAGCCUGUAAAUCAACCCACGGCAUUGAAAAGGACACGCUCAGGAUAAUUGUAUAUUUAGAAGCCUUUCUCCCGUGUGUCACUAACACCUCUAUGGAUUAUUAAAAUCAGAGGAUGUAAAAAAAAAAAUCUCGCCAAUGACACCUUUACUGGCUAGUCAUUUCCAGCUUGGCCGUCUUCCCCAAAUGAAUCUGGUUUUAUAACAACCAGCCCACUCCGUCUGUGCAACGAGUUAAAAAUAUUUACCCAUCUCCAAAGUUUGCAAAUUUAUAAUGGGUUGAAUUAGCACCCGAAUCGAAACACAUCCAAACUUUGGGACAGUCAAACUCUAGAUCUGAAAGUUGUGGGUUAUGCCUUAAUCCACAAUGGUGACUUACCCUGUUCUCUCAGGCCACGUCUACACUAGGAAAUUAUUUCAAAAUUAUUAAAUUCGACUUAACUCCUGAUGUAACAAAAUCGAACUAGCGUGCCCACUCUACGGGGAAACCUCGAAAUUAGUCUGAGGCAGGCUCUGUGAAUGUGGACGCUCUACCUCAGACUUAGCACCCCAGGAAAUACUGGGGAGUCAUUAGUUCGAAUUACUCUGGGGAGUAGCUAUUUCAAAAUGCAGCACCAGCAUAUCCA
Long non-coding RNA from Pelodiscus sinensis (Chinese soft-shelled turtle), 1673 nucleotides. RefSeq lists it as uncharacterized. Lineage: Eukaryota; Metazoa; Chordata; Testudines; Trionychidae. The record is from RefSeq and is a predicted model, not a curated record.